GGCUCUUUAGCUCAGUUGGGAGAGCGACAGACUGAAGCUGCUCCACGCAAGCUGCACUUCUGCAGGUCUCCGGUUCAAUCCCGGAAAGGGCCA
RNAcentral lists this transfer RNA (93 nucleotides) under Rhodotorula toruloides. Its description in RNAcentral is "tRNA-Phe". Lineage: Eukaryota; Fungi; Basidiomycota; Microbotryomycetes; Sporidiobolales; Sporidiobolaceae. The record is from RNAcentral.